CCAGACUCCUACGGGAGGCAGCAGUGAGGAGUAUUGGUCAAUGGCCGAGAGGCUGAACCAGCCAAGUCGCGUGGGGGAUGACGGCCCUACGGGUUGUAAACCUCUUUUGUCGGGGAGCAAAGAGAGUCACGUGUGGCUCAUUGAGAGUACCCGAAGAAAAAGCAUCGGCUAACUCCGUGCCAGCAGCCGCGGUAAUACGGAGGAUGCGAGCGUUAUCCGGAUUUAUUGGGUUUAAAGGGUGCGUAGGCGGAAUAUCAAGUCAGCGGUAAAAAUUCGGGGCUCAACCCCGUCGUGCCGUUGAAACUGAUGUUCUUGAGUGGGCGAGAAGUAUGCGGAAUGCGUGGUGUAGCGGUGAAAUGCAUAGAUAUCACGCAGAACUCCGAUUGCGAAGGCAGCAUACCGACGCUCAACUGGCGCUGAAGCACGAAGGCGUGGGUAUCGAACAGGAUUAGAUACCCUAGUAA
RNAcentral lists this ribosomal RNA (464 nucleotides) under uncultured bacterium. Its description in RNAcentral is "bacterial SSU rRNA". It matches the Rfam family "Bacterial small subunit ribosomal RNA", at positions 331 to 793 of the family's 1533-position model. The record is from RNAcentral.